CGCCCGCCCGGCGUCUGCCCGCCCGCCCCGUCCGCCCGCCGGCCCGCCCGGCCUGCCCAGCCGCGGGAGCUGCCAGCCAGCUCCUCGCCCUCCCGCUGCCCACAGGCCCUGCCAGGCUGGGCGCAAGAAAGCGUGUUUACUAACACCAUCCGCACGGCUCCCUGGGCACCGCGGCUCUGCCCAGAAGAUGUCAGGCCCCGGGCACCGGGAGGCGGGCCUGGAGCCAGGCUGUCUGCAGCCGGAGGGGCGGGGGGGCGGCCCUGGCCGGCUGCUGCCCUGGGCUCCUGGGCUCCUGGGCUCCUGGGCUCCUGGGCUCCUGCGCUCCUGGGCUCCUGGGCUCCUGGGCUCCCGGCCUCUCGGAGGCCCCAGGGAGGCCCNNNNNNNNNNNNNNNNNNNNNNNNNNNNNNNNNNNNNNNNNNNNNNNNNNNNNNNNNNNNNNNNNNNNNNNNNNNNNNNNNNNNNNNNNNNNNGGGGGGGGGGGGGGGAGACCUCCUGGCGGGGUGGUCGCCUUGUGCAGACCGAGAAGCUCCCCAUCGCUCCUGGGAUAUCAUCCAAACUUGACAUGGUUGGCAAGGCUGUUCAUAAUCUGCCUCCUGUCUGCCUCUCCCGCCUCAUGCCUCCACCAUGCCAGGCCGCAGCCUGGGCCGCAGCCAAACUGAAUUCCACCUGGUGUCUUUGCUUGGCCUCUAGCUUCAUAUCACCGUUUCCUGUACCUGGAAGCCUCUUUCCCACCCGGGGAAGAGGACUUGGUCCCCCCACCCCCACCCCUCCAGUGCCUUUCACAGAAGGGCAUCAUGGCCUUGUGUUCACAGAGGUGGGGCUUUCCCGGGCUGUGGAGAGGAGAGAGAGUCAGGGAAGUUGUCUUCCAAGAGACAACAACUCCCUGGGUCUUGUUCUGUUUCUUGCUAGAAGAACUGACUGGCUGGCGGAUGGUUGUGGAGGAGACUUCUACGCUGAAAUGCAUGGGAGGCCAGAUCUCCUUCCGGACGGGCUCAGACUACUGCCCCCUUACAAGUGCCCACGACCACUUCUGAGCCCCACAGCUGGACAAACCCAGGGUCAGAACGGGCAGUGUGUCUGGCUCUCGACGCUGGUGACUUUGAUAAAAGACAACUGUGGAUGUUUGGAAACACCAGGAAAUACCAAGACAAUUUGAAAGAGGUCCCAAACAUCGACUUAAGGAGGAACGCUUCGUAACCACUUGGGGCCAAUGGAGCCAGAAGACAAGAGUCAUGGGCAUUUUGUCAUUUUCUGAUUGGAGAUUUGAGAAGGCUUCCACAGGAGAAAUCACACUCCCCGGGGAAGAUAGGAGUCCAAGUCUCCUGGUCUUCGGCGGGGGACCUCAGACAAGCCUUGACCUCUCCGAGUGAGCCUCAGUCUCCUUCUCUGUGUAAAGUCUGCAUAGUCCUUAAAAGCCCUUCCGUGUCUCACAUUGUUAGAACCUCUUUUUUGGAACUCAACAUUCACCCCCAUUGUGGCUGAAACGCCAGAGACAUGACUGUAAGAUUUUCAGUAGAAAAAAGGAUUAAAUUAAAACAAAUAAUUUGCACUUGGAUACACAACCCCAAAUGAUCAACAGGAUCACACAGCUUGACAGCAACCCAUCAUUUUAGACAAAGAUGUGUGAAAUCAAGAGACGUUGAAAAUCAUUUCAAAAUCCUGUAAUUGUUCGGGGUUCAGCUCACCCAAUGCUGUGUGUGUACAUUUUAAAGCACUGUUGUUUUUUUUUCAAAAUAUAUUUUAGUUGUUAUUAUUCAAACCGAGCUGGCAUCAUGUGUAGAAUUGGAAGUUAUUGUAGUCAAUGUAUAAACUGAAAGAAAUCAGCCCAGGGGAUGCCGCUUUCACGCUUAUUUAUGGGAAAAUGCUGUUUAACUAACCUUGAAGUAAAAAAUCUUUUGAAAAAAAAAAUCGGGGAUCCCUGGGUGGCGCAGCGGUUUGGCGCCUGCCUUUGGCCCAGGGCGCGGUCCUGGAGACCCGGGAUCGAGUCCCACGUCGGGCUCCUGGUGCAUGGAGCCUGCUUCUCCCUCCGCCUGUGUCUCUGCCUCUCUCUCUCUCUCUGUGACUAUCAUAAAUUAAAAAAAAUAAAAAAUAAAAAAUAAAAAAAAAAGAAAAAAAA
Molecule: long non-coding RNA, 2116 nt
Organism: Vulpes vulpes (red fox)
Lineage: Eukaryota; Metazoa; Chordata; Mammalia; Carnivora; Canidae
Source: Ensembl